Molecule: ribosomal RNA, 391 nt
Filed under: Luzula crenulata
Lineage: Eukaryota; Viridiplantae; Streptophyta; Magnoliopsida; Poales; Juncaceae
Description: eukaryotic LSU rRNA
Rfam family: 5.8S ribosomal RNA (bases 12-168)
Source: RNAcentral
UAUCUUGAAACGACUCUCGGCAAUGGAUAUCUCGGUUCUUGCAUCGAUGAAGAACGUAGCGAAAUGCGAUACGUGGUGUGAAUUGCAGAAUCCCGUGAACCAUCGAAUUUUUGAACGCAAGUUGCGCCCGAGGCCUUUUUGGCCUAGGGCACGCCUGCCUGGGCGUCAGUUGCCCCUCGGCGCUCCAUGCCAUGUGCGAUCUCUCACGGCUGGAUGCGGGCCUGGCCCUUCGAGUCCCUGAGCUCGGCGGGCCAAAGCGUUUGGCUUGCCCAUUGGGGCUGGCUGUGGCGAGUGGUGGAUCGAUCGCUCAGACGAGCCGUACGUCGCCCAGCUAGACCCCUCGGGUAUAUGGCCUUGUUGAAACCCCAGAACAGCAGAUGCCGAAUGGCAU